GGGUUGUGAGGUUAAGCGACUAAGCGUACACGGUGGAUGCCCUGGCAGUCAGAGGCGAUGAAGGACGUGCUAAUCUGCGAAAAGCGUCGGUAAGGUGAUAUGAACCGUUAUAACCGGCGAUGUCCGAAUGGGGAAACCCAGUGCAAUUCGUUGCACUAUCGUUAACUGAAUACAUAGGUUAACGAGGCGAACCGGGGGAACUGAAACAUCUAAGUACCCCGAGGAAAAGAAAUCAACCGAGAUUCCCCCAGUAGCGGCGAGCGAACGGGGAGCAGCCCAGAGUCUGAAUCAGCUUGUGUGUUAGUGGAACGGUCUGGAAAGUCCGACGGUACAGGGUGAUAGUCCCGUACACCAAAAUGCACAGGCUGUGAACUCGAAGAGUAGGGCGGGACACGUGGUAUCCUGUCUGAAUAUGGGGGGACCAUCCUCCAAGGCUAAAUACUCCUGACUGACCGAUAGUAAACCAGUACCGUGAGGGAAAGGCGAAAAGAACCCCGGCGAGGGGAGUGAAAAAGAACCUGAAACCGUGUACGUACAAGCAGUGGGAGCACCUUCGGGUGUGACUGCGUACCUUUUGUAUAAUGGGUCAGCGACUUAUAUUCUGUAGCAAGGUUAACCGUAUAGGGGAGCCGCAGGGAAACCGAGUCUUAACUGGGCGUUAAGUUGCAGGGUAUAGACCCGAAACCCGGUGAUCUAGCCAUGGGCAGGUUGAAGGUUGGGUAACACUAACUGGAGGACCGAACCGACUAAUGUUGAAAAAUUAGCGGAUGACUUGUGGCUGGGGGUGAAAGGCCAAUCAAACCGGGAGAUAGCUGGUUCUCCCCGAAAGCUAUUUAGGUAGCGCCUCGUGAA
This 852-nucleotide ribosomal RNA is filed under the name Klebsiella pneumoniae. Its description in RNAcentral is "partial 23S ribosomal RNA". It matches the Rfam family "Bacterial large subunit ribosomal RNA", at positions 1 to 888 of the family's 2925-position model. The record is from RNAcentral. Lineage: Bacteria; Pseudomonadati; Pseudomonadota; Gammaproteobacteria; Enterobacterales; Enterobacteriaceae.